Long non-coding RNA from Poecile atricapillus (Black-capped chickadee), 261 nucleotides. RefSeq lists it as uncharacterized. The transcript is spliced from 3 exons. Lineage: Eukaryota; Metazoa; Chordata; Aves; Passeriformes; Paridae. The record is from RefSeq and is a predicted model, not a curated record.
GCACGAUACAGGUUCUCAAGAUGAUAAAACAAAGGUUACUGGGCUGAAUCUUCUGCAGCAGCCUGCCUGGUUAUUAACAUCUGAUAGGAAAUGCAUUGCAUAGGAGGAAGGUCAGGAAAAGGAAUUGACCAUCCCAACUUGAAAGACUAAAUUGGGGCAGAUCACCCUGUGAUGAGCUCACCCUGUGCACCAUCUUUUCCUCACGGAAAGCACGAACAAUAAGAGGAUCAGAAGAAGCCUGCGAAAAGGAUUACAUUGCAC